UACGUAGGGAGCGAGCGUUAUCCGGAUUUAUUGGGUGUAAAGGGUGCGUAGACGGGAGAACAAGUUAGUUGUGAAAUCCCUCGGCUUAACUGAGGAACUGCAACUAAAACUAUUUUUCUUGAGUACUGGAGAGGAAAGUGGAAUUCCUAGUGUAGCGGUGAAAUGCGUAGAUAUUAGGAGGAACACCAGUGGCGAAGGCGGCUUGCUGGACGACAACUGACGCUGAGGCGCGAAAGCGUGGGUAUCGAACAGG
RNAcentral lists this ribosomal RNA (253 nucleotides) under uncultured bacterium. RNAcentral describes it as "partial 16S ribosomal RNA". It matches the Rfam family "Bacterial small subunit ribosomal RNA", at positions 524 to 776 of the family's 1533-position model. The record is from RNAcentral.